Molecule: RNA transcript, 2796 nt
Organism: Trematomus bernacchii (emerald rockcod)
Lineage: Eukaryota; Metazoa; Chordata; Actinopteri; Perciformes; Nototheniidae
Gene: khdrbs1b
Gene name: KH domain containing, RNA binding, signal transduction associated 1b
Exons: 11
Source: RefSeq, a predicted model, not a curated record
CACUAUCCUCCCGGUGUCUGCGCGCAUUGUUCUCUCAUUCCCAUCCAGAGAGAGCAGCUGAACACACCGAGAGGACCAGCCGGUGCGGGGAACAGACAGAGAGUACCGGACCCUCCGUCGCAGAAACUCCCGGGAGCCACAUGCAAAGCUCAGUCUGCAGUGCACACAGGAUACGCGGCACUCCGUAGUUACAUAACUGGACUACUUUUUUUUCUAUAAUUGUUGUGGGUUUUUCACGCUUUUUGUGUUGCACCAUCCCCAGCUAAAAUGGAGAACGACGAGAAAUAUCUCCCCGAGCUGCUGGCGGAGAAGGACAGCCUGGACUCGUCUUUUACGCACGCUAUGAAACUUUUAAACGCAGAAAUUGAUAGACUCCAGAAAGACGAGACUAAAAAGGAGGCGGACGACUACAUGGACCUUUUCACAACAAAGAACAUCAAACUUAAGGAACGAGUGCUCAUACCUGUCAAACAGUACCCGAAGUUCAAUUUCGUGGGGAAGAUUCUGGGACCUCAGGGCAACACGAUCAAACGUCUGCAAGAAGAGACCGGGGCCAAGAUCUCGGUGCUGGGCAAAGGAUCCAUGAGAGACAAAUCCAAGGAGGAGGGGCUGAGGAAAGCCGGCGAGCCCAAAUACUCCCACCUGUCCUUGGAGCUGCACGUGUUCAUCGAGGUGUUCGCCCCCGUGCCCGAGGCCUACCUGCGCAUGGCCCACGCCAUGGAGGAGGUCAAGAAGUUCCUGUUUCCUGAUAUGAUGGAUGAUAUCUGCCAAGAGCAGUUCCUGGAGAUGGGCUACCUGAACGGAGGCCAGGAUCACGGGGCCAGAGGCAGAGGGGGCCCUCCGGUCAGGGGCCGUGGACUCCCCCCUGGUGGAGCACACAGGGGUCGGGGGAUGCCUCCUCGUGGAGCUCCUGCCAGGGGAGGAGUACCUCGAGGCGGCCCACCCAGAGGUGGAGCAGUGAGGGGGGUCCCAUCGGGGCGAGGAGGACCCCCAGCAGCACCCUCCAGAGGAGCAUCAGCACCCCGAGCCAGACCCCCAGCUGCAGGACCCCCCCACAGGAUGGCACACCCACCCCCCCACCAGCACACCCCCACUGCAGCCUCUGAGGGCUACGAGGAAUAUGGCUACGAUGAGAGCUACACAGACACGGCCUACGAGUCCUACGACAGCUACUACAGUCAGCCGCAGGCAGAGCCAGAGUACUAUGACUACGGACACGGAGAGAGCACAGAGUCGUACGAGUCGUAUGGCCAGGAUGACUGGAACGGGACCCAGCGAGCGCCCACAGGGAAGGCCCCCCCCCCCUCCAGAGGUGCCAAGACGCCUUACCGGGAGCACCCGUACCGACAGUACUGAAGCGGACGCGCCGACCUUAACGCGUCGCCAUGACUACCGCCUGUCUCCCACGGCAGCUCUCGCUUUAAGCAGCCCGACAAAAGCACAGCUAUCGGUCACUGAGCGCCCGGAGACUGACAGUCUGCUGACGUGAGAACCAAAAGAGCCUCAGGGAAGAAGUACGGAGCAGCUCAGCAUUAAGGAGGUGGUCGGACGAGAGGAGUGACCCAAAGGGGGGGUUCUGGUGCCGAAUGACCCACAGGAUGAAGCUGAUAAAGUGUCCGAGGAGGAGAGGUGGCUCAGACUCAGCUGGGAACCCAGAAAACCCAGAGACAUUUCAUGUGGACUAUUUUCUACAUUUUCUCUAUGCUGAAUUAUGUUAUAUUCUGACAGACACACACUGACGCCAAGCUGCUUCUACAGACCACCCUCUCUUCCAACAGAUGUAAUUGUUCCAGUCUAAUUCACCAUAAAAUGAGCACUCCUGUUAUAGUACGCUGUGAAAUUGUCUUUAAUUUCUAUUAACUCUGGGAUUAGACGUGAUGAUAUUUUCUGCAAGGCAAGCAAAAUCCAUGCAGAAUCGUGUACAUGUGCAUUUCAUCUAUUUUAGAAUUGUUUUACAUUCUUGUUGCGUGUUAUUUGGUACCAAUGCCUUAUUGCCGAGUUAAAUUACACUCUGUGCAAAGAUGCCCGGAGAGAGUGGAUCACUAUCUCGCUGAGUUCACCGCGAGCUCUCACACACACACUCUCACUCUCACACACACCACCACAUCUUGGCAUAGCACGGCCUGUCCAAGCCCUGAGGAUAUCAAAUGCUAAUGCAGCGGCCCAUUUGCAUGUACUCACAUGUAGCCUCUCCGCAAAUGUGCAACACUUUCAAAACCAACGCUGGCCUGCUCUCAGCGUCAGCAUCUAUUUAUGAUAAUAGAGCGAGAUGCGGAGAGCUGCAUGUGAGAAAGGACGGAGGGUGAACACAGACAUUACUAACCACCCUCCAUCCAUCCAUCAUGUUCUGUUGAUUUGAUUCCCUCUAUGCCAUUUUCUGCCAUUAUCACUGAUGAUAUUAUGGCUGCCUGUGGUGCAGAGUUACAUUUAGAGGUCAAAACUAUACUUUCCUGUAUUAAAAACAAAUUUAUCUGCCCCGAUUCGCCGGUCAGAGGCUCCAUUUAGCUUAUUGAAAAAGCUAGCCGCUCAGAGGAUGCAACAUUGGAUAUUAGGAUAGAAACCAUCAUCUGGAAUGAAACGUCAACAGGCCAUAUCCAAAACAGAUCAUUUUUCAGUCUUUAUGUGCUAUUAUGUCUAAAAUAAUGAUUUCAGUGUCUCCUAUAAUCUAAUGAAAGAUAAGUGAUGGUGGUGGAAGCCAUCUGCUUUGUUGGAAUCGAUGAACUGUCAAGAGCGGGAGGGUGGAAGAGAAAGUAAAUGUUGCUGUGCCGUGAUCAAUAAAAGUAGAGUUGAAAAUGA